Molecule: long non-coding RNA, 2374 nt
Organism: Cyanistes caeruleus (blue tit)
Lineage: Eukaryota; Metazoa; Chordata; Aves; Passeriformes; Paridae
Source: Ensembl
CCCGGCCGCUCCCUCCUUCCCCUCCGCCCUGCCCGGGGCUGCUCCCUGUGUCCCCAGGGCCGGACACAGCCCCGCUCCCGGUCAGACACAGCCCCUCUCCGGUCCGUACAGUCUCUCUCCGGUCAGACACAGCCCCUCUCCGGUCCGUACACAGCCCCUCUCCGGCCCGUACAGCCCCUCUCCGGUCCGUACACAGCCCCUCUCCGGCCCGUACAGUCUCUCUCCGGUCCGUACAGUCUCUCUCCGGUCCGUACAGUCCCUCUCCGGCCCGUACAGCCCCUCUCCGGCCCGUACAGUCCCUCUCCGGCCCGUACAGCCCCUCUCCGGUCCGUACAGCCCCUCUCCGGUCCGUACAGCCCCCCUCCGGUCCGUCUGUGUCCCGCAGCGCUCCCCUCCUGUGCCCGGCACGGCUGCUCCGAGCAGGGAGCUGGGGAUAGCUACAGGGCACCGAGCAGAGAUGGACAGGAGGAACAGGUGCUGCCAGGGAGAGCCCCACUGCACUCUGCCAUUGCCUGCCUGCCGCCUCACCAGAGCUGCUGCUGCUGCUGCCACAGGUGCAGGUGCUCCAGGGAUACAAUUUGCAGGCGGUUUGGCUUUGUAAAUACCAGAUGAAGCAUCAAUGGCACAGAAGUGCUGCUCAGAUACCACUGCCUUUUUAUGGUCCUCUUUUGCCAUUAGUGAAUGGGUUUCAAUGUUUAAUAGGGUCAGGAUAUUAAUUAGCAGCUUCUGUGGUACAUCAUGCAGCACACAGACUGAAGGACAAUAAUGGUGUUUGUAGUGGUUAAAACCUAACAGAAAUCAAAUCUGACAAAAAUCUCAUCUGCCAUUUUGUCUGCAGCCACAACAAUAAGAGAGGAAAUUCCUUCGGAGUCCACACACGCAGGAGAAUUCAAAUCAUUUGAGCAGGACUUCCCCUCAGCUGCAGGAUUUUCUCCUUUAGCCUAUGCCUUAGGAGGUGAGGCUAGGAUGCUCUGCCCAGGAGGGACACUCACAGCUCAGCACCGUAGCUGCCUGCCCUGAAGCCAGAGCUCUAAUUACCCACAUCAUUAUCUCAGCCUGCCCUGCUGGAAAUGUUAUCCUGGAGUAUGGGGAUUUUCUAGGAGCACUCCUUCCGGUGUAAGACAAUGUAAUUAUUAUUGCCACCAGAGAAGGGAAUGACUAAUAAGGACAUUCAGAGAGCAUUUUGUUCAUCCUUUGCUCUGCAGCUUCAAAGACAACUUUAAAAUGCAUAAUUAAACAUUUCAAGUGCUAAAACUGCCUUGGCUCUUUUAGUUAAUUUCUUUCCAAUAUUAAGACAUAAAGUGGACAAUAAUUUCCCAGCAGGCAAACAGCUCCACCCUUAAUUAGCUAAUGGAUCUUACAUCUGCCCACUCUCAUGUUUUUCUUUUGCUGUGCAUUUUUACCUGGUGCUCAUUUUUUCCCCCUGCUGAUUCCAGUGAUACCGCCCAGAGGAGGUGACUGGUCCUUGUUUUUCUCACCCCAGCCCCUCUGUGCAGAGUAGCUCCUCACAGCUACAGAAGAAUGCUGGGUUUGGAUGACUAUCUGCUCGAGAGAUUAGUUUGAUUAGGCAAGAGAUUUGAAUGUGCAGGCAUGUUCAUCACUCAGCACAGGUUUAUCCAGCUGUUUUGUAGAGCAUGAGAUGUUGAUUUCAAGUCUUUCUGGGCCUGCAGAGGGAAAAGCUGGACAUAGCAUUGGUGAUUAUGGCAAUUUCUCCCAUGUUACCUUGACCAAACAUUCUUGGUAUGAUGCCACAAGUUGACACUGUUAUGUUACACAGUGUUCCUUAUGUAAAAUAUUUUACUGACAACAGUUCCACAUAGUGCAGAGUUGUUUUCUUUGGGGUUUUAUUGUGUUUGUUUGGUUUUUUUGUUGCUUUUUUUCCCUGUAAGGAUGACUGAACCAUGGAGAAAUCCUAUGUAAUAUAUCCAUUAGGCUGUCAGAGCAUGACCAUGGUGUCCUGUCCCUUCCCAGCUCACCAAUGUUCAUACCAUCAGUGAACACCCAGGAGCUUUCCCAGCACAGCUGUGCUGUAGGUGGUAGCAGGGAAAAGGCUACAUCUGCUCUCCCACCCCAUGGGUUUCAGCAUCCCUGCCUCUAUCAGUAGGAAAGAAUGAUUCCAGCUCAUUCCUGCUUCCUGUAGUCAAUUUGUCCCUGUGGCAGUCCCUGUAGCAUCAAUGCCAACUUCUGAAAACAUAAACCUAUGAUGCAGCCAGGCCCCUAAUUCUCAAUGAAUUGUUUCCUAGCAUUAAUUUUAAAAUAUGAUGGUCUCUUCUGUUAAACUAAAUAUAUCUGCAUUAGGUUCUCUCUUUAGUAAAAUGCCUUAAAAUGAGUUAUUGUAAAUAAAACAAUUUGGAAAGUUAAAAAAAAAUAAAUU